UAAGGGCUAACCCUGUUAGAGAUGUCUAAGUGCCAGUGUAAAAAACGCAUGCAUUGGAGUAAUUCCACUUGAGUGCUAGGAGAGCUGCGGAAUGUGUCCACAAGCCACUCUUUGGUAGAGAGCUGCACCUAAGAAGUCCUAUUUUCUGACACUUUUCCAUGCUGGGCAGGCGGAAGUGCAGCAGGAAGAUGAAUCUUCAAGUGAAGAGAUGCAGUCCCCCAGUACACAGUUGUAUAACCUAGUUGUAGGUCCUUCUGGUUCUUCUAUGUGGGACACCGCCUAAGCAUGCCUUGAUG
Molecule: long non-coding RNA, 296 nt
Filed under: Equus caballus (horse)
Lineage: Eukaryota; Metazoa; Chordata; Mammalia; Perissodactyla; Equidae
Description: lncRNA (ENSECAG00000057635.1)
Source: RNAcentral